UGGGGAAUAUUGGGCAAUGGGCGAAAGCCUGACCCAGCGACGCCGUGUGGGCGAUGAAGGCCUUCGGGUUGUAAAGCCCUGUGAGGUGGAAAGAAGGGUCCAGAGGUUAAUACCCUUUGGACUUUGACGGUACCACCAGAGGAAGCACCGGCUAACUCCGUGCCAGCAGCCGCGGUAAUACGGAGGGUGCAAGCGUUGUUCGGAAUUACUGGGCGUAAAGGGCGCGUAGGUGGUUGUGUAAGUCAGAUGUGAAAUCCUUAGGCUUAACCUGAGAACUGCAUCUGAUACUGCAUGACUCGAGUACAGCAGAGGGAAACGGAAUUCCUGGUGUAGAGGUGAAAUUCGUAGAUAUCAGGAGGAACACCAGUGGCGAAGGCGGCUUCCUGGUCUGUAACUGACACUGAGGCACGAAAGCGUGGGGAGCAAACA
RNAcentral lists this ribosomal RNA (429 nucleotides) under uncultured prokaryote. Its description in RNAcentral is "bacterial SSU rRNA". It matches the Rfam family "Bacterial small subunit ribosomal RNA", at positions 355 to 774 of the family's 1533-position model. The record is from RNAcentral.